GACGAACGCUGGCGGCGUGCUUAACACAUGCAAGUCGAACGGAAAGGCCCUGCUUGCAGGGUACUCGAGUGGCGAACGGGUGAGUAACACGUGGGUGAUCUGCCCUGCACUUCGGGAUAAGCCUGGGAAACUGGGUCUAAUACCGGAUAGGAGCCAUUUUUAGUGUGAUGGUUGGAAAGUUUUUUCGGUGUAGGAUGAGCUCGCGGCCUAUCAGCUUGUUGGUGGGGUAAUGGCCUACCAAGGCGGCGACGGGUAGCCGGCCUGAGAGGGUGGACGGCCACAUUGGGACUGAGAGACGGCCCAGACUCCUACGGGAGGCAGCAGUGGGGAAUAUUGCACAAUGGGCGCAAGCCUGAUGCAGCGACGCCGCGUGGGGGAUGACGGCCUUCGGGUUGGAAACUCCUUUCGCUAGGGACGAAGCUUUUUGUGACGGUACCUAGAUAAGAAGCACCGGCUAACUACGUG
This 465-nucleotide ribosomal RNA is filed under the name uncultured bacterium. RNAcentral describes it as "partial 16S ribosomal RNA". It matches the Rfam family "Bacterial small subunit ribosomal RNA", at positions 28 to 507 of the family's 1533-position model. The record is from RNAcentral.